UGCGGUGGGUCCCGUGUUGGUACGGGAAGGCGGCUGUUAACCGUUUUGGCGCAGGUUCGAUUCCUGCCACCGCAG
RNAcentral lists this transfer RNA (75 nucleotides) under Planctomycetaceae bacterium. RNAcentral describes it as "tRNA-Asn". It matches the Rfam family "tRNA". From Rfam's summary of the family: Transfer RNA (tRNA) molecules are approximately 80 nucleotides in length. Their secondary structure includes four short double-helical elements and three loops (D, anti-codon, and T loops). Lineage: Bacteria; Pseudomonadati; Planctomycetota; Planctomycetia; Planctomycetales; Planctomycetaceae. The record is from RNAcentral.